This 155-nucleotide ribosomal RNA is filed under the name uncultured bacterium. RNAcentral describes it as "partial 16S ribosomal RNA". It matches the Rfam family "Bacterial small subunit ribosomal RNA", at positions 197 to 354 of the family's 1533-position model. The record is from RNAcentral.
GUUGGAAAAGAUUUAUCGGUGUGAGAUGGACCCGCGUCUGAUUAGCCAGUUGGCAGGGUAACGGCCUACCAAAGCGACGAUCAGUAGCCGGACUGAGAGGUUGGCCGGCCACAUUGGGACUGAGAUACGGCCCAGACUCCUACGGGAGGCAGCAG